CAGCCGCCGCGGUAAUACGAAGGGUGCAAGCGUUAAUCGGAAUUACUGGGCGUAAAGCGUGCGUAGGCGGUUUGUUAAGUCUGUUGUGAAAUCCCCGGGCUCAACCUGGGAAUGGCAAUGGAUACUGGCAAGCUAGAGUGUGUCAGAGGAUGGUGGAAUUCCGCGUGUAGCAGUGAAAUGCGUAGAUAUGCGGAGGAACACCGAUGGCGAAGGCAGCCCCCUGGGCCAACACUGACGCUCAUGCACGAAAGCGUGGGGAGCAAACAGGAUUAGAUACCCGUGUAGUCCCUGUCUCUUAUAA
RNAcentral lists this ribosomal RNA (301 nucleotides) under uncultured bacterium. Its description in RNAcentral is "partial 16S ribosomal RNA". It matches the Rfam family "Bacterial small subunit ribosomal RNA", at positions 509 to 809 of the family's 1533-position model. The record is from RNAcentral.